RNAcentral lists this ribosomal RNA (253 nucleotides) under uncultured bacterium. RNAcentral describes it as "partial 16S ribosomal RNA". It matches the Rfam family "Bacterial small subunit ribosomal RNA", at positions 524 to 776 of the family's 1533-position model. The record is from RNAcentral.
UACAGAGGUCUCAAGCGUUGUUCGGAUUCAUUGGGCGUAAAGGGUGCGUAGGUGGCGCGCUAAGUCAGGUGUGAAAUCUCGGGGCUUAACUCCGAAACUGCAUUCGAUACUGGCGUGCUUGAGGACUGGAGAGGAGACUGGAAUUCAUGGUGUAGCAGUGAAAUGCGUAGAGAUCAUGAGGAAGACCAGUGGCGAAGGCGGGUCUCUGGACAGUUCCUGACACUGAGACACGAAGGCCAGGGGAGCAAACGGG